RNAcentral lists this ribosomal RNA (433 nucleotides) under uncultured bacterium. RNAcentral describes it as "partial 16S ribosomal RNA". It matches the Rfam family "Bacterial small subunit ribosomal RNA", at positions 29 to 507 of the family's 1533-position model. The record is from RNAcentral.
AACGAACGCUGGCGGCAUGCCUAACACAUGCAAGUCGAACGAGACCUUCGGGUUUAGUGGCGCACGGGUGCGUAACGCGUGGGAACCUGCCCUUAGGUUUGGAAUAACUCCCCGAAAGGGGUGCUAAUACCGGAUAAUGUCUUCGGACCAAAGAUUUAUCGCCUUUGGAUGGGCCCGCGUUGGAUUAGCUAGUUGGUAGGGUAAAAGCCUACCAAGGCGACGAUCCAUAGCUGGUCUGAGAGGAUGAUCAGCCACACUGGGACUGAGACACGGCCCAGACUCCUACGGGAGGCAGCAGUGGGGAAUAUUGGACAAUGGGCGAAAGCCUGAUCCAGCAAUGCCGCGUGAGUGAUGAAGGCCUUAGGGUUGUAAAGCUCUUUUACCCGGGAUGAUAAUGACAGUACCGGGAGAAUAAGCUCCGGCUAACUCCGUG